Molecule: ribosomal RNA, 829 nt
Filed under: Hypomyces gamsii
Lineage: Eukaryota; Fungi; Ascomycota; Sordariomycetes; Hypocreales; Hypocreaceae
Description: partial large subunit ribosomal RNA
Rfam family: Eukaryotic large subunit ribosomal RNA
Source: RNAcentral
GUAACGGCGAGUGAAGCGGCAACAGCUCAAAUUUGAAAUCUGGCCCCUCGGGCCCGAGUUGUAAUUUGUAGAGGAUGCUUUUGGUGCGGUGCCGCCCGAGUUCCCUGGAACGGGACGCCAUAGAGGGUGAGAGCCCCGUCUGGCUGGCCACCAAGCCUCUGUAAAGCUCCUUCGACGAGUCGAGUAGUUUGGGAAUGCUGCUCUAAAUGGGAGGUAUAUGUCUUCUAAAGCUAAAUAUUGGCCAGAGACCGAUAGCGCACAAGUAGAGUGAUCGAAAGAUGAAAAGCACUUUGAAAAGAGGGUUAAAUAGUACGUGAAAUUGUUGAAAGGGAAGCGCUCAUGACCAGACUUGGGCUUGGCGAAUCAUCCGGCGUUCUCGCCGGUGCACUUUGCCUCGCCCAGGCCAGCAUCAGUUCGUCGCGGGGGAUAAAGGCUUCGGGAACGUGGCUCCUCCGGGAGUGUUAUAGCCCGUUGCGUAAUACCCUGCGGUGGACUGAGGUUCGCGCAUCUGCAAGGAUGCUGGCGUAAUGGUCAUCAGCGACCCGUCUUGAAACACGGACCAAGGAGUCGUCUUCGUAUGCGAGUGUUCGGGUGUCAAACCCCUACGCGUAAUGAAAGUGAACGCAGGUGAGAGCUUCGGCGCAUCAUCGACCGAUCCUGAUGUUCUCGGAUGGAUUUGAGUAAGAGCAUACGGGGCCGGACCCGAAAGAAGGUGAACUAUGCCUGUAUAGGGUGAAGCCAGAGGAAACUCUGGUGGAGGCUCGCAGCGGUUCUGACGUGCAAAUCGAUCGUCAAAUAUGGGCAUGGGGGCGAAAGACUAAUCGAACCU